This is a long non-coding RNA of Gallus gallus (chicken), 4212 nucleotides long. RefSeq lists it as uncharacterized. The transcript has 2 exons. The record is from RefSeq and is a predicted model, not a curated record. Lineage: Eukaryota; Metazoa; Chordata; Aves; Galliformes; Phasianidae.
GGGGGCAGGGAAUGAGACAAGGAACAUCCGCUCCCUUGUUGUUUGUCUUCUUUUGAACUGAGCGCGGUCGGCUCAGCCGGCGCCAUCAAGCCAACGGUCAUUGGCGGCUCCAUCUCCUCUCAGCCCCUGCAAAAAACUGCUCCCGAGCCCCCAUCGGACCGCCCCGACUCCGGUGUCUCGCCUCCACCGCCAAGACCCAAAAGCAGGGCUCCACUACCUCGCCGUUUUCCACCGACUACGAAUCGUGGCACAGCGCUCACACCACGCUGGUUCGCAAGCAAUAGGGGCUAGACCUCGGCGCAGCGACACUACCAUGCUCUAUUCCGCCGACUGUGACCCCCCGGGUAGGUCCGGACCUCGGCGCUGCCUGACCGCUCCACCGACUACAGACCCCAGCGCAGCAACAUUACCACGCUGCCACGUAACUGACGGAAAAUAAGGAGUGACGAUCCGAUCCUUGCCUCACACAGGGCACAAGUUGUUACCACCGACAACCACCAUAGUCCCAAGCUGCACCGUCAGGGGCUAGCGAUCAGAGCUCGCUAGGACCAUAGCAACAGACACCAAUAUGGGGAAGCUGCAAAAUGGCGUUUAUUCACUAAUACACACAGCUUAUAUACCUUACUUGAGCUAUCGUGCCCUGUCCUGAUUUGUCCAUACUGGAUCUUAGCCCCUUACCACAAUUCCUUAUUUGGCUCCUAUUGUCUCCUCAUUCCUUCACCUUCUUAUCUUGUUUACUUCGUUAGCAAGGACAGUCUGUCUGAGCACAACAGCACCCUUCCACUAUGCUUAGGGAGAGGCCUAUCCCGUACAGCACGUAUCCCCGCCAAGCGCCUACUACAACACCAACAUAUAUCAGGGAAGUUAAAGUCUCCCAUGAGAACGAGUGCUGGCGAUUGCGCGACUUCUGCAAGCUGCUCAUAGAAUGCCACGUCCUUGUCUUCAUCCUGAUUAGGUGGUCUAUAACAGACCCCCACCAAGAUGUCACCCCAACAGGCCUUCCCCCCGAUCCUUAUCCAUAGACACUCAACUUCAUCAUUCCCAACCCCAAGCUCUUCAACAUCAAAACACUCUUUAAUAUAAAGAGCCACACCACCACCCUUCCUUCCUCAUCUAUCCCCUCUGAAGAGCUUGUAGCCAUCCAUCACAGCACUCCAGUCAUGGGAGUGGUCCCACCAUGUUUCAGUAAUAGCAACUAGGUCAUAGUUAGCCUGCUGCACAAUCGCUUCCAGCUCCUCCUGCUUGUUGCUCAUGCUGUGUGCAUUGAUGUAGAUGCACUUCAGCUGAGUCAUCUGCCUCACCCCCAGCUCAAGCAUUGUUCUCCUAGGCUCAUUUCUGGUGAGCCGUUUUGUCCCCUUCCUCCAUCGUAGAUAGUUUAGAGCUCUUUUGAUAAGCCCUGCUGGCUCCUGCGCUAGGAUUUGUUUCCCCCUUUGAGAUAUGUGGGUUCCAUCCAUGGACAACAGGCCAGGGGCCAAGUGCCCCAUGGCCGAAAAAACACAAGUUCCUGCCUCGACACCAGCCUCUGAGCCAAUUAUUCGUUACCUGUGUUUUCCAAGCUCGCUCCAUGUCCUUCACUGCCCCUGAAGGUAUAGAACAAAAGAUCACUUGCACUCCCACUCCUUGAACUAAAUGCCCUAAAUCCCUGAAAUCUCUUUUCAUAGUUCGCAGGCUUCUCUGAGCGAUUUCAUCACUGCCCACCUGAACUAUGAGUAAUGGGAAGUAAUCAGUGGACCAAACCAGCUUUGGAAGUUUUCUAGUUAUGUUCCUGACUCGGGCCCCGGGAAGGCAGCACACUUCCCAAUGGCUCGGGUCCGGUCUGCAAAUGGGGCCCUCUGUUCCUCUGAGAAGGAGAGUCACCACAUCCACCCUUCUUUCUUUCCUGACAGAGGCAGUCUCAAGGUGUGGGGGUGACCGCCUUGCCUUAGGCUCCCUCCUAGGCAGAUCCUUCCUUGCCUCCCCACUCACCUCCCCUUCAAUUUCCAGCAUCUCAAACAUGUUGUUUAGUGUCAGGUCUGUCUGACUGUGACAGGGCAGGGGGUCCACCACUUUUCUGGGAUAUCUCCCUGGCACCCUUCCCUCUGGCACUCCAGCGAGUCCAGAUAGAUACAGAUACACACAGAUAGUGUGGAUGCAGUUCAGUGCUGUUGGGUGUGGAAAAUAACCUGAAACUUUAAGGUGCUGAAUGAAGAGAGAUUUAGUCUUAGCUUCUAGGACAGUGAAAGUCUUCUCAUGGCUAGCCUGGUUUUUAUCCAGCAGGCCCAGGGCUUAAAGAAUCUUUGUGCUGAUGCUAAGUGACACAAACUCAUCAUCCUCUGCUAUUUAGUGUAAAUCUACCUAAUGCUACAUACACACAGCCCUUCUGCUUGAGGUCCCCAAGUCAAACAUUUCCCAUGCUGUUUUCCUUGCUUGUGUUUACCACGUAGGAGAAUGGGAAAUUAAGUAAAUGCAGAGUUGCUGUUUAAAAUCAGUUUUAGUAGGUAGGGACCAAGGUAAUCUCAGUAAAGAAAGAUAGCAUGCUCUUCUGGUGCUUUCCUUUUUUCAUGUAACCACUUUGCCAUCUCUCAAAGAGUAGUUCUUACUGGUUCCAUUGAAUUUUUGCACAUUUUGAUUGCUUGAAUCCUUUUUAGAGUUUUAUUUCUCUUGCAGAUCUAGGCUUGCAGUUAUGAAGUAUUGAUGGGCUUCUGACAGGGUUGUCAUUUGGAAAAGCUUUAGGUUUUUUAUCAGUAUUUUUGCAUGCUUAGUAUUGUGUCUGGAUACAGUUCUUUUGCUUACAGUGUUUUUAUUGUGCUCCAUACUCCAUGUUGUCAUCGGACUGGUGUGAGUUGUGACACUCGAGAGUUCAUCUGACAUUUGUAGUUUUUUGGACAGCUAGUGAAUUGGUGAUGUUUCUCAUCAUCAGAGUAUUACUUGUCAUUUACUUAGGACACUGAGUCAUGUUUUUUAGUCUAAUUUUUGUCGAAUAGAUUUUUUUAUAUAAAAAUAAAACACUCAUAUAAAACAUAUAAAACAACUCAUAUAAAACACGCAUAUAAAACACUCUUCUUUUUUUUUUCUUUUUCUUUUUUCCUUUUUUUUUUAAUUGCCUUUACUUUCUAUCUUCCCCUUAGCUACAAGCAUGUUCCCUAAGCUAAUGUUUAAUUGGACAUUUUGUUAUUGGCUACUUGCUUGAUCUGUUGGAGAAUAAACACUUUUUUUUGCAAGGUAUCAUUUUUAUGAGCUAAUUCAUAGUCUGUUUUUUGUCUUCUUCAGGGAGAAAAGUUAGUGCUAGCUUUGCCUAAGCAUUAAGGACUGUUUUGUAUUGGAAUGAUGGACCAUAGUCCCUGAGACUGAACACUGUAUUUAGUUUACUUUGGCUACAAUUUUUACUUGUCAGUUAUACUUUAAUAUAUUUCUUCUUAAAUAAAAAUUAAAAAAAAAAUCCUCUCUAUUUGUUAGAGUUCCAAUCUCUUUUUACUAAUUCUCUGUAGUUACGUAUUUUAUUAUUUAUUUUUAAAAUUGAAGAUGCAAUAAAAUAGUAAUUCUGAGCAUACAAAACUAAAUUGCAUAUGAGAAGGAAAUGAGACAUUUACAUUCUGAUAAGUUAGAGCUUGGAGAAUGAGCUUUUUCAUUCCAUUUCUCUUUCUCCAACCAGAGAUGAAAAAAAAAAAGAGCAUAAAUUAAGGAGUUCUGGAGAAACUAAAUUGUACUACAUUUAAUUAAAUAAAAUGUGAAUGUCAGGAAUAUUUGACCAGUGCAGGAAAUGUGGACUCCUUCACAAGGAGAUGGGAAAAGAUUACCCCAGCAGCCAAAAAACUCCUGCUUAGGUAUGCAGCCAGGAGCAGAUGCAGCAACCACCAAUGCUUACAAGAACAAAACAAUUUUUGGAGUACAAUGUAUAAAGUUUUACUAGCAUUUAUUCCUGUCAUCACUUCAUAUAACAAAAUUAGUCUCCUUCAUUUUGAUUUUUUUUCUAGUUACUAGCUUGUACUUCAUUUGCCACGUAUCUGUUAUCACUAUGAUAAGUUAAAAUACUGUUCAAAUAAGUAGACGUACCUCACUUCAGCAAGGCACUUGAGUGUAUACUUAUCUUCAAAUACAUGAUUCAGUCUCACUGACUGUUAUCACUGAAGGCUUAAAUGUUUUGUUGAAGUGGGGCUGUACUGUUAGCAGGGAGUAUUUCCCAGCAUUUUUGUAAUUCUCAGUUAAGAUGACCAAAUAAAAAUCGUGUAAUUG